GAUGAACGCUGGCGGCGUGCCUAAUACAUGCAAGUCGAGCGAACGGACGAGAAGCUUGCUUCUCUGAUGUUAGCGGCGGACGGGUGAGUAACACGUGGAUAACCUACCUAUAAGACUGGGAUAACUUCGGGAAACCGGAGCUAAUACCGGAUAAUAUUUUGAACCGCAUGGUUCAAAAGUAAAAGACGGUCUUGCUGUCACUUAUAGAUGGAUCCGCGCUGCAUUAGCUAGUUGGUAAGGUAACGGCUUACCAAGGCAACGAUGCAUAGCCGACCUGAGAGGGUGAUCGGCCACACUGGAACUGAGACACGGUCCAGACUCCUACGGGAGGCAGCAGUAGGGAAUCUUCCGCAAUGGGCGAAAGCCUGACGGAGCAACGCCGCGUGAGUGAUGAAGGUCUUCGGAUCGUAAAACUCUGUUAUUAGGGAAGAACAUAUGUGUAAGUAACUGUGCACAUCUUGACGGUACCUAAUCAGAAAGCCACGGCUAACUACGUGCCAGCAGCCGCGGUAAUACGUAGGUGGCAAGCGUUAUCCGGAAUUAUUGGGCGUAAAGCGCGCGUAGGCGGUUUUUUAAGUCUGAUGUGAAAGCCCACGGCUCAACCGUGGAGGGUCAUUGGAAACUGGAAAACUUGAGUGCAGAAGAGGAAAGUGGAAUUCCAUGUGUAGCGGUGAAAUGCGCAGAGAUAUGGAGGAACACCAGUGGCGAAGGCGACUUUCUGGUCUGUAACUGACGCUGAUGUGCGAAAGCGUGGGGAUCAAACAGGAUUAGAUACCCUGGUAGUCCACGCCGUAAACGAUGAGUGCUAAGUGUUAGGGGGUUUCCGCCCCUUAGUGCUGCAGCUAACGCAUUAAGCACUCCGCCUGGGGAGUACGACCGCAAGGUUGAAACUCAAAGGAAUUGACGGGGACCCGCACAAGCGGUGGAGCAUGUGGUUUAAUUCGAAGCAACGCGAAGAACCUUACCAAAUCUUGACAUCCUUUGACAACUCUAGAGAUAGAGCCUUCCCCUUCGGGGGACAAAGUGACAGGUGGUGCAUGGUUGUCGUCAGCUCGUGUCGUGAGAUGUUGGGUUAAGUCCCGCAACGAGCGCAACCCUUAAGCUUAGUUGCCAUCAUUAAGUUGGGCACUCUAAGUUGACUGCCGGUGACAAACCGGAGGAAGGUGGGGAUGACGUCAAAUCAUCAUGCCCCUUAUGAUUUGGGCUACACACGUGCUACAAUGGACAAUACAAAGGGCAGCGAAACCGCGAGGUCAAGCAAAUCCCAUAAAGUUGUUCUCAGUUCGGAUUGUAGUCUGCAACUCGACUACAUGAAGCUGGAAUCGCUAGUAAUCGUAGAUCAGCAUGCUACGGUGAAUACGUUCUCGGGUCUUGUACACACCGCCCGUCACACCACGAGAGUUUGUAACACCCGAAGCCGGUGGAGUAACCUUUUAGGAGCUAGCCGUCGAAGGUGGGACAAAUGAUUUGGGGUGAAGUCGUAACAAGGUAGCCGUAUCGGAAGG
Molecule: ribosomal RNA, 1505 nt
Filed under: uncultured bacterium
Lineage: Bacteria
Description: 16S ribosomal RNA
Rfam family: Bacterial small subunit ribosomal RNA
Source: RNAcentral